RNAcentral lists this ribosomal RNA (149 nucleotides) under Plestiodon parviauriculatus. RNAcentral's name for it is "partial 16S ribosomal RNA". Lineage: Eukaryota; Metazoa; Chordata; Lepidosauria; Squamata; Scincidae. The record is from RNAcentral.
CAAUCCAGGUCGGUUUCUAUCUAUGCAGCCACCCUCUUCAGUACGAAAGGACAAAGAAGCGGAGGACCAAUGCUACAAGCACGUCCCAAACCACUAACUGAAUAAAACUAAAGUUAGACAGCUACUACCACGACCAAAGAUCGUGGUUC